AUGGUAAUCAUAUGCCUCAUAAAGUCAAUAAUCACACUCUAUAGGGCUUGGGCGCCGCGUUGCAUUCUGGGACGUGGCGGCCAUGUUGAUGGCGUUGUGAAUGUAAACAUACAGCAAGUCGAACGAGAAGAAACAGAGUUGGGAGAAAGAAAAAAUAUGUUAAAAUCGCGAAAAGGUUGUGGUAUUUACAGGGAUACGCUAAGUAGGGAUGCCAGGGAUCGAUAUCUUCGGCUACCUUGUUUGUUUUGUGAGCGCCUACACUUCAGAACAGUUCCGAAGCUACAAGUCAUUGGAGUCUCAUGUGCAGUUCACAAAUGGAUGGGUUAAGGAGCUGCAGAUCAUAAAGCCGGCAAACAGUAUACAGUAAUCCGGACAAAGGUAAACUGCACUCCGCCUAGUUGCUAGUUUAGUAACCGUUAGUGCUAACAACCAUUCACAUGUUCUUUUAACUAACUUAUGUGUUUCAAAAGUUUAGUUAGUAGCUGUCAACCCUCCCAUUUUUUUCCGGGGUUCUCAUGUAUUUGAGCUCUUUUCCCGCUGUCUUCCCGAAUUUUUGCUUUCAGCAGAGGGACAGCAACAGAAAGAUGAAUGUAGAAAUUUUCCGUUUUUUUGGAUGAGUAGCCCAGGAAAUUUCCCUUAUUUUCAGUGUUUACUUAAGCUAUAUAAAUUAAUAUUCAGAUAUUAUACCUCACUUGGUCUCCGUGGUCGCGCCUCCAAGCAGGAAAGCAGUGGCAAGUUAAUCCAUUUUUUUUUCAAAGGACGAUUAUGUGUUGCGUUAUUACACCCCACAAUUCAGCAACGGUUUAUCAUGGUUGAAAUAGAUUUUUAAUUAAUCAAAUUAAGACACACGGCUGAGAGGGAGUAUGUCUAAACACUGCGCAGUAGUCCGAGUAGCAGUAAAGGAGGCCAUCAGCAUAGCGGCCACGCCAAGUAAUGACGUCACGACGCCCAAGCCCUAAUAGACGGCGUUCACAUUGAUAGCUGUGAUUACACAGUAAUAGCGUGCUGAUUUGCUUUCAAACAGAUGGUAAUCAUGCAGAUACAGGCACAUUCAACAUAAAACACAUUCACACAUAUAUAAAAAAUGUUGAAAAGGGCGAUCGCUAAGUUCCGCCUCCAUCAGAUGACAGGUGCGUCAGAGCGCGCGUCACGAGAGAGCGCCAGAAUUCAAAUAAACAAUCUUCCGCCAAAAAAACAAUCUUUUUUUCUUUUUGGUGGAUCGUAUUAUUCUGUUUGUGAUACUGUACGCUACAAAACCAUGCUGUUUUUUUACUACCAAGACACAGUUUCUGAGCGUGAGUUAUUCCAUAACGGACACAAACAAUUCUGUCCCUGAAGAACUGAAACGUAAACAAAGGAAUUAUCAUCCAUAUUACAACGUUAUUGCUUCGUUGGGCUAAAUGUGUUCCAUGAGAUUUCGUUCAGUGAACCCUUACCUUCCUAACUAAACCGGGAUUUACAGCUGUGGAUGUGUUUAUGACUCGUUGUUACGACGAAUCUGGUAUGUACUGCGUUUUUAUUCUAAAUGUUUUGAUGUGUACUGCUUACAAAUCUAGCAAAUACAUUCUUUAUAAGCUUUCCAUUGAAACACAGCGAUCUGUCGUCGAUG
Cyprinus carpio carpio is the source of this 1609-nucleotide long non-coding RNA. The record is from Ensembl. NCBI's taxonomy places the organism in Eukaryota, Metazoa, Chordata, Actinopteri, Cypriniformes, Cyprinidae.